UAGGGUCUUACUGCCGAUGGUGAGGUCGACGUAGAGCGCUCCGCGGGCCGGUGACACGUUCCCUUUGAAAUCCUUCAGCAUCAUGUCCAUCUUGGUCAGAUCUUCAUCGCUUUUGCCCAAUUUCCGGAACAUAGCAUACGGCAUGAUAUUAAUCGCGGCGCCUCCAUCUACCAGCAGUCUAGUAACUGGUCGUCUGUUGACAUGCCCUUUGAGGAACAAGGCUUUUAGGUGUUGUCAUUUUUCAUCUUCGGAUUUCUCAAAAGUGGCUAUCAUUGGC
This 277-nucleotide long non-coding RNA is filed under the name Setaria viridis. RNAcentral's name for it is "long non-coding RNA (SVIR_LNC005537)". Lineage: Eukaryota; Viridiplantae; Streptophyta; Magnoliopsida; Poales; Poaceae. The record is from RNAcentral.